RNAcentral lists this ribosomal RNA (506 nucleotides) under uncultured actinomycete. RNAcentral describes it as "bacterial SSU rRNA". It matches the Rfam family "Bacterial small subunit ribosomal RNA", at positions 8 to 526 of the family's 1533-position model. The record is from RNAcentral. Lineage: Bacteria; Bacillati; Actinomycetota; Actinomycetes; Actinomycetales.
AGAGUUUGAUCCUGGCUCAGGACGAACGCUGGCGGCGUGCUUAACACAUGCAAGUCGAGCGAGAUCCAUCCGGUGGCAACACUGGUGAAGACCGAGCGGCGAACGGGUGAGUAACACGUGAGCAACCUGCCCCCGAGUCUGGGAUAACCCCGGGAAACCGGAGCUAACACCGGAUGACCUCAUCGGACCGCAUGGCCUGAUGAGGAAAGUUUACGCUCAGGGAGGGGCUCGCGGCCUAUCAGCUUGUUGGCGGGGUAACGGCCCACCAAGGCAUCGACGGGUAGCUGGUCUGAGAGGACGACCAGCCACGCUGGGACUGAGACACGGCCCAGACUCCUACGGGAGGCAGCAGUGGGGAAUCUUGCGCAAUGGGCGAAAGCCUGACGCAGCAACGCCGCGUGCGGGAUGAAGGCUCUCGGGUCGUAAACCGCUUUCAGCAGGAACGAAAUUGACGGUACCUGCAGAAGAAGCACCGGCUAACUACGUGCCAGCAGCCGCGGUAAUAC